AUUGAACGCUGGCGGCAUGCUUUACACAUGCAAGUCGAACGGUAACAGGCCUUCGGGUGCUGACGAGUGGCGAACGGGUGAGUAAUGCAUCGGAAAGUACCCAGAGGUGGGGGAUAACGCAGCGAAAGCUGUGCUAAUACCGCAUGUGAUCUGCGGAUGAAAUCGGGGGACCGAGCAGCAAUGUUUGGCCUCGCGCCUUUGCACGGCCCGAUGUCGGUUUAGCUAGUUGGUGGGGUAAAGGCCUACCAAGGCGACGAUCGGUAGCUGGUCUGAGAGGACGACGAGCCACACUGGGAGUGAGACACGACACAGACUCCUACGGGAGGCAGCAGUGGGGAAUUUUGGACGAUGGGCGCAAGCCUGAUCCAGCAGUGCCGCGCGCGGGAAGAAGGCCUUCGGGUUGUAAACCGCUUUUGGCAGGAACGAAACGGUGUCCGCUAAUACCGGGCGCUAAUGACGGUACCUGCAGAAUAAGCACCGGCUAACUACGUG
This 492-nucleotide ribosomal RNA is filed under the name uncultured bacterium. RNAcentral's name for it is "partial 16S ribosomal RNA". It matches the Rfam family "Bacterial small subunit ribosomal RNA", at positions 29 to 507 of the family's 1533-position model. The record is from RNAcentral.